Long non-coding RNA from Ictalurus punctatus (channel catfish), 1242 nucleotides. The record is from Ensembl. NCBI's taxonomy places the organism in Eukaryota, Metazoa, Chordata, Actinopteri, Siluriformes, Ictaluridae.
ACCGAACAAAAAGCCAUGGAGGAGUACAUUCAGGAAGCGUUGCACCAAGGUUAUAUACGACCAUCUACUUCUCCAGCAUCCGCGGGGUUUUUCUUCAUAGAGAAGAAGGGAGGAGGUUUACGACCAUGUAUCGACUACCGAGGACUAAACCGGUGUUGCGUCAAGUACCCACUACCUCUAGUACCAGCCGCUCUGGAACAAUUGCGCACUGCCACCAUCUUCAUGAAGCUGGACUUACGCAGUGCAUACAACUUGGUGCAGAUUCGAGAAGGAGAUGAACGCUCCCUCGGUCUUCCAAUGUCUAAUCAACGACGUGUUACGUGACAUGCUGGGACGUCAUGUGAUCGCCUACAUAGACGGCAUUCUAAUAUAUUCUGACUCCCGGGAGGAACAUGUUUGCCAUGUCCGCCAAGUUCUACAACGACUGCUCCAUCAUCAGUUAUAUGUCAAAGCUGAGAAAUGCGAAUUUCAUAAAACCGCCAUUGCGUUUCUGGGAUACAUCAUCAGCCCCGAGGGGAUCUCCAUGAACCAAGAAAAGGUCCAGGCAGUAGUAAACUGGUCCCCACCCACGACGAUCAAGGAACUACAGAGGUUUCUGGGGUUCGCAAACUUCUACAGAAGGUUUAUUAGAAAUUCCUGUGCCAUCACCAACCCCCUCACGUCCCUGCUAAAGGGGAAACCCAAACGUCUAUCAUAGAAUCCAACCGCCCAAACUGCCUUUGACAAGCUCAAGAAAGCCUUCACUACUGCACCCAUCAUCAAACAUCCGGACCCAUCCAGACCGUUUAUAGUGGAGAUGGACGCGUCAGAAACUGGGGUAGGAGCAAUUUUAUCCCAGCGAUUCGGAGAGAAGCCAAAGCUCCAUCCGGUGGACGCGUCAGAAACUGGGGUAGGAGCAAUUUUAUCCCAGCGAUUCGGAGAGAAGCCAAAGCUCCAUCCGGUGGCAUUCUUCUCGCGAAAGCUUUCCCCCGCUGAGAGAAACUACGAUGUGGGAAAUCGUGAACUCUUGGCAAUUAAGUUUGUGCUAGAGGAGUGGAGACACUGGUUAGAGGGGGCUACACAUCCCUUUGUCAUCUUCACAGACCAUAAGAACCUGGAGUACCUUCGCACUGCAAAGCGACUUACACCCCGCCAGGCUCGAUGGGCCCUGUUCUUUACCAGGUUUCACUUCACGUUAUCCUACAGACCAGGGUCCAAGAACAUAAAAGCUGAUGCCCUGUCUCGUCUCAACAACACAGAUCG